This 798-nucleotide long non-coding RNA is filed under the name Setaria viridis. RNAcentral's name for it is "long non-coding RNA (SVIR_LNC008530)". Lineage: Eukaryota; Viridiplantae; Streptophyta; Magnoliopsida; Poales; Poaceae. The record is from RNAcentral.
GGAUUCAGGUGCCGAUUUGAUUGUCAAAGAGACAUAAUUUAGCAUGAUGAUACACUCAUACCUGUUGCAGUUGCAGCAACAGAUGAUCAGCAGGACAUUGCAGAGUGCUUCUGCACAGCAGCACCUGCAUAUGCUGAAAGGUUCAACUCAUCCUAGGAAAUUAUUAAGAAUCGACUCAGUGCAUUACAAAUUAAAGCAAAGAAGAAUGUCUUGUGACGACUAACUGUGUCAGCAUGAUGAAAUGAUAUGUUUCAAGACAUCAGCAACCUUUGGACCCUGGAUUGGGUAAGAAGGGAAUGUGGGAUCGCAUGAAAUUCAUGGAGCUAUUUACAAAUCCCAAGAUUCUUGUUUGCUGAAUUUGUUCUGAGCAGGUCUGGAGCCCAAGACUGAUGCCAUAAUCUGCAAAAGAUUAUACAACUAAUGCAAAAAAAAACAUUAUAAGGCUACUAAGCGGAAAAAAAUGUGUUUCAUAGUUUAAGACAUCAAUACUUGAAAUUCAGUAGUAUGAUAUACCUAAUGAAGUCCUUGCCCAACUCAGGCUAGUCCCACCCAGGUCAUGCAAGCAGCAGUACAGGAGCCUUUUGAAAUUCAGAGUUUUACCGCCUUUUGGAAGCACAGUGGCGAGGGAGCGACGACGGGAAGCACAGUGGCGGGGGAGUACCGAGGUCGCCGGCGGCAGCGACCCCGCCGCCGUCCGGCUGCCGUCUUCGGCACACAAUAUUUGCAUUCAAAAAGACCCCUGGUUCGGAUACGCCCAUCCUCUCGGGGCCGUCCGCCGCCGUCGCCGUGCUCCCUGCC